GUCAGGAUGGCCGAGUGGUAUAAGGCGCCAGACUCAAGUUCUGGUCUUCGUGAGAGGGCGUGAGUUCAAAUCCCACUUCUGACA
Molecule: transfer RNA, 84 nt
Filed under: Macleaya cordata
Lineage: Eukaryota; Viridiplantae; Streptophyta; Magnoliopsida; Ranunculales; Papaveraceae
Rfam family: tRNA
About the family: Transfer RNA (tRNA) molecules are approximately 80 nucleotides in length. Their secondary structure includes four short double-helical elements and three loops (D, anti-codon, and T loops). Further hydrogen bonds mediate the characteristic L-shaped molecular structure. tRNAs have two regions of fundamental functional importance: the anti-codon, which is responsible for specific mRNA codon recognition, and the 3' end, to which the tRNAs corresponding amino acid is attached (by aminoacyl-tRNA synthetases). tRNAs cope with the degeneracy of the genetic code in two manners: having more than one tRNA (with a specific anti-codon) for a particular amino acid; and 'wobble' base-pairing, i.e. permitting non-standard base-pairing at the 3rd anti-codon position.
Source: Rfam by way of RNAcentral